UUCAGACAAUUCUGGUUGCAUUUUAAGAAGAACUUCAAGAAGAACCUGAGAGAGAUUCACAGGUAGAGAGGAACAGAACAGAUGAGAACGUCUUUCCAGAACAGUGUGCAUUGUCCCCUAUAAAACACAGAGAUCUCAGUAUUCAUCUACACAAAAAGCAGCAACAUCAGAGACAACUGCAGCUGCUGGGAAUAUGCCCUUCAAACAUUACUGCUGCCUUUCAAUGUAUUUUCUCUCGCCUCUCUACCUAUGUGUGUGUGUGUGUGUGUGUGUGUGUGUGUGUGUGAGAGAGAGAAAGAGAGAGAGAGAGAGAGAGAGAGAGAGAGAGAGAUGUGGGUGUUUCUGCUUGUAGUACUGUACUCAUGAAGUCUACUAUAGGCUAUAAUAUAUACAGUACUAUUGCUUAUAGUGUGUUUGUGUGUGUGUGUGUGAGAGAGAGAGAGAGAGAGUUGUAUCUUUGUGUGUAUUUCUCUGCAUCUUUCCUGAACAGAGAAGUGAAGACAUGAGAGAAGACCCAUGGGGACCACGCUAUCCCACAAUACCUUGCCCAGGCCCCUUGGGAGGUGCACAGAAGAGAGGACAGCCUGAGCUCACACUCACCAAGAAAGAUGCUGUUUCCAUGACUGGCAGGACACACAAAUAGAAAGAAGGCCAGGACUGAAGCCUGGGGAUCGAUUAACACGCCUGCCCAGUGGGAAGCCCCCAUUCCAGGCCUCCCAGUUAAGCCCACCUGCCUUCACAGCCGUGGCCCGACAGAAGUUCUCAGCAGGCGCACUGCUACUGCUUGACACACACGCUUUAACUGACACACACUCGCACACACAUGCACACUCACACACACACAAAUGUUAUAGCUGAUAGCUCUUUUAAACGCAGACACCUGACUACAAGAGAAAAUU
Long non-coding RNA from Alosa alosa (allis shad), 899 nucleotides. RefSeq lists it as uncharacterized. The record is from RefSeq and is a predicted model, not a curated record. NCBI's taxonomy places the organism in Eukaryota, Metazoa, Chordata, Actinopteri, Clupeiformes, Clupeidae. The transcript has 2 exons.